This 426-nucleotide ribosomal RNA is filed under the name uncultured bacterium. RNAcentral describes it as "partial 16S ribosomal RNA". It matches the Rfam family "Bacterial small subunit ribosomal RNA", at positions 354 to 796 of the family's 1533-position model. The record is from RNAcentral.
GUGAGGAAUUUUCCGCAAUGGGCGAAAGCCUGACGGAGCAAUGCCGCGUGAAGGAUGAAGGCCUAUGGGUUGUAAACUUCUUUUCUCAGAAAAGAAUUAUGACGGUAUCUGAGGAAUAAGCAUCGGCUAACUCUGUGCCAGCAGCCGCGGUAAGACAGAGGAUGCAAGCGUUAUCCGGAAUGAUUGGGCGUAAAGCGUCUGUAGGUUGUUUAAAAAGUAUUCUGUCAAAGAUUAGGGCUUAACCCUAGAUAGGCAGAAUAAACUUUUAAGCUAGAGUGUGGUAGAGGCAGAGGGAAUGCCCGGUGGAGCGGUGAAAUGCGUAGAUAUCGGGAGGAACACCAAAGGCGAAGGCACUCUGCUGGGCCAAUACUAACACUGAGAGACGAAAGCGAGGGGAGCAAAUGGGAUUAGAGACCCUUGUAGUCC